RNAcentral lists this ribosomal RNA (768 nucleotides) under Triticum aestivum (bread wheat). Its description in RNAcentral is "partial small subunit ribosomal RNA". Lineage: Eukaryota; Viridiplantae; Streptophyta; Magnoliopsida; Poales; Poaceae. The record is from RNAcentral.
AUGAAGAUCCUGGUGGCGGUGAAGCGGGUGGUAGACUACGCGGUGAAGGUGCGGGUCCGGCCGGACCGGACGGGCGUCGACACGGCCAGCGUCAAGAUGUCCAUGAACCCCUUCUGCGAGAUCGCCGUGGAGGAGGCGCUGCGGCUCCGCGAGGCCGGCGCCGCCUCCGAGGUCGUCGCCGCCACCGUCGGCCCCGCGCAGGCCGCCGACACGCUCCGCACCGCGCUCGCCAUGGGCGCCGACCGCGCCGUCCACGUCCUCCACGACCCCGACCCCGCCCGCCCGCUCCUCCCGCUCGCCGUCGCCAAGAUCCUCCGCGCCCUCGCGCUCCAGGAGACCCCCGGCCUCCUCAUCCUCGGCAAGCAGGCAAUUGAUGAUGAUUGCAACCAAACAGGACAAAUGCUAGCUGCAUUGCUCAACUGGCCGCAGGGAACCUUUGCCUCAAAGGUGAUAAUUGACAAGGAUAAGCAAAAAGCUACUGUUGAGCGAGAGGUCGAUGGUGGAACUGAGACAAUCUGCUUGGAUUUACCAGCAGUGAUCACGACUGAUCUGAGACUGAACCAGCCCCGGUACGCGACGCUGCCCAACAUAAUGAAGGCAAAGUCGAAGGUGAUCAAGAAAGUCACCCCCGCAGACCUGAACGUCGAUGUCAGGUCAGACAUGGAGGUGCUCCGGGUGGACGAGCCGCCAAAGAGGAAAGCCGGGGUGAUCCUCUCGUCGGUCGACGAGCUCCUUGACAAACUGAAAAACGAAGCCCGCGUCCUGUAA